GACGAACGCUGGCGGCGUGCCUAAUACAUGCAAGUUGAGCGCUGAAGGUUGGUACUUGUACCAACUGGAUGAGCAGCGAACGGGUGAGUAACGCGUGGGGAAUCUGCCUUUGAGCGGGGGACAACAUUUGGAAACGAAUGCUAAUACCGCAUAAAAACUUUAAACACAAGUUUUAAGUUUGAAAGAUGCAAUUGCAUCACUCAAAGAUGAUCCCGCGUUGUAUUAGCUAGUUGGUGAGGUAAAGGCUCACCAAGGCGAUGAUACAUAGCCGACCUGAGAGGGUGAUCGGCCACAUUGGGACUGAGACACGGCCCAAACUCCUAAGGGAGGCAGCAGUAGGGAAUCUUCGGCAAUGGACGAAAGUCUGACCGAGCAACGCCGCGUGAGUGAAGAAGGGUCUCGGAUAGUAAAACUCUGUUGGUAGAGAAGAAAGUUGGUGAGAGUGGAAAGCUCAUCAAGUGACGGUAACUACCCAGAAAGGGACGGCUAACUACGUG
Molecule: ribosomal RNA, 497 nt
Filed under: uncultured bacterium
Lineage: Bacteria
Description: partial 16S ribosomal RNA
Rfam family: Bacterial small subunit ribosomal RNA
Source: RNAcentral